This is a long non-coding RNA of Alexandromys fortis (reed vole), 404 nucleotides long. RefSeq lists it as uncharacterized. The transcript is spliced from 5 exons. Lineage: Eukaryota; Metazoa; Chordata; Mammalia; Rodentia; Cricetidae. The record is from RefSeq and is a predicted model, not a curated record.
AUAACUUAGAAAAUGUUUUGGAAAACUUGAAAAUCAAGCUCUCAGACGAGAAACUAAAAGAUCUGUCAGAAAACCUUCCAGUUGACGACUCUGGGAAGACUGAUCUGCAGACACUACUAAGAGAAGUGAGAAAAUUCACAGGAGGAAAAAUUGAUACUAAAGUCACAAAAAAAGUGCUGGGGGACAUGGGCAUAGAGCUCACAAACAGGGAAGUCAAUGCGCUGAUGAGAAGGCUGCCUAUCGCUGAUGAUGGGAAAAUACUUAAAAACAUAUUACUUGACCAAAUGAAGUGGUUUUCUGGGGGAAAGUGUUAUGUCUCCAAACUGGAUUCCAUCCUAGAAGAACUGGGCUAUGAACUGGAGGAGGAGGAAAUUGAAGACCUGAAGAACCGUCUGCCAAUUGAA